Long non-coding RNA from Carassius auratus (goldfish), 385 nucleotides. RefSeq lists it as uncharacterized. The transcript is spliced from 3 exons. The record is from RefSeq and is a predicted model, not a curated record. NCBI's taxonomy places the organism in Eukaryota, Metazoa, Chordata, Actinopteri, Cypriniformes, Cyprinidae.
ACCGCUGGACGAGCUCACCGACAGCUAGAGGACGGCAGUGGGUGAAGGCAGCGUCCAGUAACGCUCGGUAGAGCUCCCGCGGCACACAACUCAACCAACACGGCGAGGAGCUGUGGUCACUCACCACCUCCCGGGCGCACAGCUUCACCAAAGACUGCACCAUCUGUGCACAGAAUGCCCCGGAAAUCACCUCGAUGUUUUCAAAGCAGGAUGAGCUGGUCUCCAAUGGGUUUUUAUUCGUCUCAGCCAAUGCCUAAAUGAGUCAAUGUAAGACCUUGUCCAAUCAGCUCUCUUGGAAUUCUCUUGAAAGUCUCUUAGUUCUUUAGAGGCAAAUGGAAGUUGUAAAAUUAACCCUCCUCAGCCCACAGUAGACCAAAGUAAAAAA